This 247-nucleotide ribosomal RNA is filed under the name uncultured bacterium. Its description in RNAcentral is "partial 16S ribosomal RNA". It matches the Rfam family "Bacterial small subunit ribosomal RNA", at positions 523 to 769 of the family's 1533-position model. The record is from RNAcentral.
AUACGGGGGGUGCAAGCGUUGUCCGGAAUCAUUGGGCGUAAAGAGUUCGUAGGCGGCAUGUAAAGUCAGGUGUUAAAGGCAGAGGCUCAACUUCUGUAUGGCACUUGAUACUUGCAGGCUAGAAUGCGGUAGAGGUAAAGGGAAUUCCUGGUGUAGCGGUGAAAUGCAUAGAUAUCAGGAGGAACAUCGGUGGCGUAAGCGCUUUACUGGGCCGUGAUUGGCGCUGAGGAACGAAAGCCAGGGUAGC